This 76-nucleotide transfer RNA is filed under the name Candidatus Thorarchaeota archaeon. Its description in RNAcentral is "tRNA-Gln". It matches the Rfam family "tRNA". From Rfam's summary of the family: Transfer RNA (tRNA) molecules are approximately 80 nucleotides in length. Their secondary structure includes four short double-helical elements and three loops (D, anti-codon, and T loops). Lineage: Archaea; Promethearchaeati; Candidatus Thorarchaeota. The record is from RNAcentral.
AGCCCCGUGGUGUAGCGGUCAAGCAUGGCGGGUUUUGGCCUCGCCGACCCAGGUUCAAAUCCUGGCGGGGCUACCA